GCCCUGGUAGUGUAGUUGGUCUAUCAUGGGGCCCUGUCGAGGCCCCGACCCGGGUUCGAAUCCCGGCCAGGGCG
RNAcentral lists this transfer RNA (74 nucleotides) under Candidatus Woesearchaeota archaeon. RNAcentral's name for it is "tRNA-Asp". It matches the Rfam family "tRNA". Rfam says of the family: Transfer RNA (tRNA) molecules are approximately 80 nucleotides in length. Their secondary structure includes four short double-helical elements and three loops (D, anti-codon, and T loops). The record is from RNAcentral. Lineage: Archaea; Nanobdellati; Candidatus Woesearchaeota.